AUGUCGAGGUCGUCGGACCCACGGACUGUGUCCGUGGAGGAGCUCAUGGAAGGCGGCGACCCGGCCGCGCUCGACGCCGUCGCCGCAGACCGGCCAGACCACUGGGACCCGGCCCUCGUGGUCCACUGCUCGUCGGCGACCAACAAGGUGGCCAUGACGCACGCCGACCUGAUCGCCGCCGUGGCUGGCGUGGCCUCACCCGACGAAGACCGGGUCUGCCUUGCCACACUCCCGGCGUGGGGAACCAGCGUCCACGGCGGCGUGGCACUGCUCGCCCUCGGGCUCCCGGCGGCCGGAGCCACCACGGUGCUCCUGCCGCCUUCCUCCGACCUGCGGGCCGCGGUGGCCGCCCAUGGCGCCACCGACGUCGUGGCGACCCCCGAGGCGGCCGCAGCGCUCUUUGCUCCCGGGCUGCCGCAGGGGAAGCUCGCCACGCUGCGGAGGGUGAUAGUGGUGACGCCGCUCGCAGAUGACGCACGGCAGGCGUUCCGCCGCAGGCUAUCGUGGGUCGAUCUGGCUGAGAUAUCCGGCGCGCUGGAGAUGGGAGCAGCGACGGCGGAGUCGCCGGAGCAGGUGAAGGUGGCUCCUGCACCUCUGGGGCCUCUGCUGCUCGUGCAACCUGAUGCUGCAGCCACACAGCUGAAGGGCAAAAUACCAGACCAAAUGCCAUCGCCAAGCGAGGCUACCUCUCUGGUGUCGCCGCUUCAGAAGAUCCAAAAGACUGUUCUCAGUGACGCCUUCGCAAAAUCAGUCGCGGGCAAGUUCUUGAGGAGGAGCCCGGUGGCCUGCGACAAACAAGCCGUCUCAAAACUGUAG
This 816-nucleotide ribosomal RNA is filed under the name Triticum aestivum (bread wheat). RNAcentral describes it as "partial small subunit ribosomal RNA". The record is from RNAcentral. Lineage: Eukaryota; Viridiplantae; Streptophyta; Magnoliopsida; Poales; Poaceae.